This 467-nucleotide ribosomal RNA is filed under the name uncultured bacterium. RNAcentral describes it as "partial 16S ribosomal RNA". It matches the Rfam family "Bacterial small subunit ribosomal RNA", at positions 29 to 507 of the family's 1533-position model. The record is from RNAcentral.
ACGAACGCUGGCGGCGUGCUUAACACAUGCCAGUCGAACGGAAAGGCCCUGCUUUUGUGGGGUGCUCGAGUGGCGAACGGGUGAGUAACACGUGAGUAACCUGCCCUUGACUUUGGGAUAACUUCAGGAAACUGGGGCUAAUACCGGAUAGGAGCUCCUGCCGCAUGGUGGGGGUUGGAAAGUUUCGGCGGUUGGGGAUGGACUCGCGGCUUAUCAGCUUGUUGGUGGGGUAGUGGCUUACCAAGGCUUUGACGGGUAGCCGGCCUGAGAGGGUGACCGGCCACAUUGGGACUGAGAUACGGCCCAGACUCCUACGGGAGGCAGCAGUGGGGAAUAUUGCACAAUGGGCGGAAGCCUGAUGCAGCAACGCCGCGUGCGGGAUGACGGCCUUCGGGUUGUAAACCGCUUUCGCCUGUGACGAAGCGUGAGUGACGGUAAUGGGUAAAGAAGCACCGGCUAACUACGUG